AGCCAGCAGCGCCCGGUCGGCCGCUGGCCGCAGGAGAAAGUAAACAACACCCCAAGUGUCCGGGAACAAAGGCAAGUUGUCUUUCUACGGUGCCGCAGCCGUGUGCCUCUUCUGAAGAAUAAGAGCUAUUAUUAUUCUUUAUGUCUUAUCCUUUUUUUUUUUUAAAAAAAAAACCAAGUUUCCUUCUAAGGGAAAUAAACACCAAAGGUAGGAUUCCAAGGAAAUGACUCACAGCGGCUGGCAGGGCUCUGGCGGGGCUGGCCCGGGCCCCCGCGCUCCAGCCCGCAGCAGAUGUCGGCCCGGCCUUCCCUCCCUCCCUUGCCGGCCAAACCCGCUGGAAGCCCGCGGUUGCGGGAGCGCCCUGCGCCCGUGGGACCUGGCGGCGAGGACGCCUAUUCCCUGCUUCUGCGACCACAGCUGGGCACUCGGAAAGUUGCUAGGGCCGAAGAGGCGGGAGGGGAGGAAGGGAAGCGAGAGGCGGAGGCGUGGACCAGGCGGGCAGCAGCCUCAGCCCGCCGAGGAGCGAGGAGCGUGUGAAACCCGUCAAUCCUGUUUGCCAUUUCCCCGUGGAUUUCCGAGGAGAGGUUCUGCAGGAUGCCCCCAGGUGAUCCUCCGACUGUGAAAAACCAGACCUCUGGCUGCCUGGCUCCCUAGGAAUCAAGAAGACGCACAGACUGAAAAUCAAGGGAGGAAGGAACAAGAUCAAGGAUGAGGAUUAGCAUCUGCAAAUUGAACUCUAUCUAAUUUGCAUGUUUAUUUCUUAGAAUUGUAAUUAAAUUUGUGUAAUAAAUGUUUUCCAUUUCAUUUGUACACUUAAAACUUGGGUGACUGACAUGCAGUUAAGUGAAUUUCCUUUUUUUAAAAGCAAAUGUAGAUUAUUCAAUAAAGCAGCAAACCAAUAUUAAACAUAAUUAGAACUAAUUUGUUUUGAAGGUGUUUUUGUUGAACUUUGUACAUUAAAGACUCUCAGAGGUUUUAAGGGUAUUAGGAAGCUGAGAGAUGGCAAUUAUGCUUAAAACAGAUGAACCCAACAGCCUACCAAGAGCAUUAUUUCAUUUUUUCCAAAAGACAUUCCAGGGUUGCAUGCCUAAAAUUGGGAAUUGGGCAUCCAUCUUGGCUUUAUUCUGAACCAUAUUAAAUUGCAUUGGCUCAUGCAUGAUGUGGGCCAUUAUGAUGAUAAUUUAAGAAUUGUAAAGAUGCCAUUUUGUGCAGUCAAUGGAAGUUGCAUGUCCAGGUUAAGAGUAGAGUAUAAUUUUCAUCUGGGUGGGAGAGGAGGGUUAGGAAAGGCACAAGGGCAUUUAAAGCAGUGCAAGUACGUAGAAAUCCAAAUUUCCAAAUAAUCUAAAACUGGUUAUUGUCAAACUCAAAAGAACUAAAUGUGAGGGUUUGGAGGCAUGGCUUAUUAUGGUUUUUAUCUCCCUAUAUUAAAGUUUUAUGGCAUUUAAAGGACUAUGGGUAAAUCCCCAUGUACACUUGGCUGUGUGAAAAUACAUAAAAUCAAAAGGAGCAAAUUAAGCAUAAAAUUGAGAAAUAACAUGAGACUAAGUUAUCAGCAUGGGUGCACUGGCAUCUUUGGAGCUUUGGCUCGGAGAAAUGAGCCUUCUGGGAAACUGGCAUUGCCCUUGGGUGGAGAAGACUCUUGGCUUUAAUGUUACAACAAAAUGGUAUCACAAGUAUCAAAUCAUUGUACUUCACAGCAUCCUUGCAGUUCUGAGUAUGAACUAGACCCUGUCCUCAUCAGAUACAUUAGGUUAGCAUGUUUUACUGACAGCUUUCCCUGCCCUACCUUUAAUCCUAAGCUUAAUGUUUUUUGAGAUUCAAUACCCAACUGUUGACAACAUGAACCUGUGUCUACAAGUACAAGAGGCAGACAAAUGUCUAUGGAAUGAGAAACCUCAUUACAAAUUUAAGGUGACUAUGUGGUAGCUAUGGCAUGAAAAAAGAACCAACUAUAAAUCAAUAAUGAAAAAUUUGGAAUGAGUAAUUGUUAUUUAUAAUGAGGUACAAUAUUUAAUUGACAACUAUGAUGUCAUCAUUUUGGGGUGUGUGUGUGUGUGUAUGUGUGUGUGUGUG
Molecule: long non-coding RNA, 2073 nt
Filed under: Homo sapiens (human)
Lineage: Eukaryota; Metazoa; Chordata; Mammalia; Primates; Hominidae
Description: non-protein coding SERTAD4-AS1:8
Source: RNAcentral